CACAGCCAUAUGCUACCAUGGCAGCCCAAACACACUAAGUUUGUAUGACUUUGGAAGCUAAGCAGGGUUGGGCCUGGUUAGUACUUCUAUGGAGACCUCCAUGUAAUUCCAGUGAUCUUCAGGCAAGGUUGAGA
This 134-nucleotide ribosomal RNA is filed under the name Pogona vitticeps (central bearded dragon). The record is from RNAcentral. Lineage: Eukaryota; Metazoa; Chordata; Lepidosauria; Squamata; Agamidae.